RNAcentral lists this ribosomal RNA (253 nucleotides) under uncultured bacterium. RNAcentral's name for it is "partial 16S ribosomal RNA". It matches the Rfam family "Bacterial small subunit ribosomal RNA", at positions 524 to 776 of the family's 1533-position model. The record is from RNAcentral.
UACGUAGGGGGCAAGCGUUGUCCGGAUUUAUUGGGCGUAAAGAGCGUGUAGGCGGUUUGGUAGGUCCGUUGUGAAAACUCGAGGCUCAACCUCGAGACGCCGAUGGAAACCAUCAGACUAGAGUCCGGAAGAGGAGAGUGGAAUUCCUGGUGUAGCGGUGAAAUGCGCAGAUAUCGGGAGGAACACCAGUGGCGAAGGCGCCUUCCUGGCCUGUAACUGACGCUGAUACGCGAAAGCGUGGGGAGCAAACCGG